Mobula hypostoma (lesser devil ray) is the source of this 447-nucleotide long non-coding RNA. RefSeq lists it as uncharacterized. NCBI's taxonomy places the organism in Eukaryota, Metazoa, Chordata, Chondrichthyes, Myliobatiformes, Myliobatidae. The record is from RefSeq and is a predicted model, not a curated record. The transcript has 3 exons.
GACAGAACCAACAUGGAAACAGAGGAAGACACAUGGCCCUAAAAUAACCUCAUUCUGCAUGUGGUCCAAGAGGUGCACACGAUGAGAUGCCACCACUCAUCCACACGGUUGGGGUACCUGAGAAAAUGGAAAAGCAGAAGGUUAUGGAUUGCAGCAAAGGCCAAGAACACUUCACCAAGCAGUGGAGAACUGUGGCGCAUUUAUUCUGUGUGUGUUUAUAUAUGCGUUUGUUAUGUCCCAUCACAGCUACUGAAGUCAAUGCACGGCCAACGGAGACUCAUUAGUAACUCUGGAACUCCUGUCUCACAGCUCUGGCUACUGAGGGGACUUGUACUGACAAUAUAAAGUGGGGAUUAUUGAAUUAGCCGCCAUGCCUAAAUGUCCUUUCUAAUCAUGUGAAUGGAUGGGGAAACGCAGCUGGGUAUGAAAUGGACCACCAAUAAAAUA